Molecule: transfer RNA, 57 nt
Filed under: Mesocricetus auratus (golden hamster)
Lineage: Eukaryota; Metazoa; Chordata; Mammalia; Rodentia; Cricetidae
Rfam family: tRNA
About the family: Transfer RNA (tRNA) molecules are approximately 80 nucleotides in length. Their secondary structure includes four short double-helical elements and three loops (D, anti-codon, and T loops). Further hydrogen bonds mediate the characteristic L-shaped molecular structure. tRNAs have two regions of fundamental functional importance: the anti-codon, which is responsible for specific mRNA codon recognition, and the 3' end, to which the tRNAs corresponding amino acid is attached (by aminoacyl-tRNA synthetases). tRNAs cope with the degeneracy of the genetic code in two manners: having more than one tRNA (with a specific anti-codon) for a particular amino acid; and 'wobble' base-pairing, i.e. permitting non-standard base-pairing at the 3rd anti-codon position.
Source: Rfam by way of RNAcentral
GGAGAGAUGGCUUUGUUGGUAAAGUGCUUGCCUUGCAAGCAAGAGGACCUCAUUUUA